AACGAACGCUGGCGACAUGCCUAACACAUGCAAGUCGAACGAGACCUUCGGGUCUAGUGGCGCACGGGUGCGUAACGCGUGGGAACCUGCCCUUAGGUUCGGAAUAACUCCCCGAAAGGGGUGCUAAUACCGGAUGAUGUCUUCGGACCAAAGAUUUAUCGCCUUUGGAUGGGCCCGCGUUGGAUUAGCUAGUUGGUAGGGUAAAAGCCUACCAAGGCGACGAUCCAUAGCUGGUCUGAGAGGAUGAUCAGCCACACUGGGACUGAGACACGGCCCAGACUCCUACGGGAGGCAGCAGUGGGGAAUAUUGGACAAUGGGCGAAAGCCUGAUCCAGCAAUGCCGCGUGAGUGAUGAAGGCCUUAGGGUUGUAAAGCUCUUUUACCCGGGAUGAUAAUGACAGUACCGGGAGAAUAAGCUCCGGCUAACUCCGUG
This 433-nucleotide ribosomal RNA is filed under the name uncultured bacterium. RNAcentral describes it as "partial 16S ribosomal RNA". It matches the Rfam family "Bacterial small subunit ribosomal RNA", at positions 29 to 507 of the family's 1533-position model. The record is from RNAcentral.